Molecule: unclassified non-coding RNA, 396 nt
Filed under: soil metagenome
Description: partial contains 5.8S ribosomal RNA, internal transcribed spacer 2, and large subunit ribosomal RNA
Rfam family: 5.8S ribosomal RNA (bases 1-120)
Source: RNAcentral
GAUGAAGAACGUAGUGAAAUGCGAUAAGUAGUGUGAAUUGCAGAAUUCAGUGAAUCAUCGAAUCUUUGAACGCACAUUGCGCCUCCUGGCAUUCCGGGAGGCAUGCGUGUUCGAGCGUCAUCAAACCCCAUCGUGCAAAUGAAUUAUUUUUUUUGCGCGGAAGUGACGAUUGAGCGAGAAUAACAAAUCCUCUCGCACCUCGUCGAAAUGAUUGCGGGCGGAAUUUGGGAUCGGGUUCCUCGGCGUAGUGUAUCAAUGCAUAUUUAUGCAACUUGCCGCGGAGUUGAGCCUGACCCACGCGUUCUCGCCGUACAAACACCUCAUUACUUUACAAGUUUUUGACCUCGGAUCAGGUAGGGAUACCCGCUGAACUUAAGCAUAUCAAUAAGCGGAGGA